UAUGAGCCUAUACUGCAGUCGAACGCUUUUUCUUUCACCGGAGCUUGCUCCACCGAAAGAAAAAGAGUGGCGAACGGGUGAGUAACACGUGGGUAACCUGCCCAUCAGAAGGGGAUAACACUUGGAAACAGGUGCUAAUACCGUAUAACACUAUUUUCCGCAUGGAAGAAAGUUGAAAGGCGCUUUUGCGUCACUGAUGGAUGGACCCGCGGUGCAUUAGCUAGUUGGUGAGGUAACGGCUCACCAAGGCAACGAUGCAUAGCCGACCUGAGAGGGUGAUCGGCCACACUGGGACUGAGACACGGCCCAGACUCCUACGGGAGGCAGCAGUAGGGAAUCUUCGGCAAUGGACGAAAGUCUGACCGAGCAACGCCGCGUGAGUGAAGAAGGUUUUCGGAUCGUAAAACUCUGUUGUUAGAGAAGAACAAGGAUGAGAGUAAAAUGUUCAUCCCUUGACGGUAUCUAACCAGAAAGCCACGGCUAACUACGUGCCAGCAGCCGCGGUAAUACGUAGGUGGCAAGCGUUGUCCGGAUUUAUUGGGCGUAAAGCGAGCGCAGGCGGUUUCUUAAGUCUGAUGUGAAAGCCCCCGGCUCAACCGGGGAGGGUCAUUGGAAACUGGGAGACUUGAGUGCAGAAGAGGAGAGUGGAAUUCCAUGUGUAGCGGUGAAAUGCGUAGAUAUAUGGAGGAACACCAGUGGCGAAGGCGGCUCUCUGGUCUGUAACUGACGCUGAGGCUCGAAAGCGUGGGGAGCGAACAGGAUUAGAUACCCUGGUAGUCCACGCCGUAAACGAUGAGUGCUAAGUGUUGGAGGGUUUCCGCCCUUCAGUGCUGCAGCAAACGCAUUAAGCACUCCGCCUGGGGAGUACGACCGCAAGGUUGAAACUCAAAGGAAUUGACGGGGGCCCGCACAAGCGGUGGAGCAUGUGGUUUAAUUCGAAGCAACGCGAAGACCUUACCAGGUCUUGACAUCCUUUGACCACUCUAGAGAUAGAGCUUCC
This 1000-nucleotide ribosomal RNA is filed under the name Enterococcus casseliflavus. Its description in RNAcentral is "bacterial SSU rRNA". It matches the Rfam family "Bacterial small subunit ribosomal RNA", at positions 43 to 1016 of the family's 1533-position model. Lineage: Bacteria; Bacillati; Bacillota; Bacilli; Lactobacillales; Enterococcaceae. The record is from RNAcentral.